This 326-nucleotide ribosomal RNA is filed under the name uncultured eukaryote. Its description in RNAcentral is "partial 18S ribosomal RNA". It matches the Rfam family "Eukaryotic small subunit ribosomal RNA", at positions 1470 to 1796 of the family's 1831-position model. The record is from RNAcentral.
CCCUUAGAUGUUCUGGGCUGCACGCGCGCUACACUGAAGCGUUCAACGAGUAUUCACCUUGCCCGGGAGGGUUGGGUAAUCUUUUCAAAACGCUUCGUGAUGGGGAUAGAUUAUUGCAAUUAUUAAUCUUCAACGAGGAAUUCCUAGUAAGCGCGAGUCAUCAGCUCGUGCUGAUUACGUCCCUGCCCUUUGUACACACCGCCCGUCGCUACUACCGAUUGAAUGGUUUAGUGAGAUCUCGGGAUUGGAGACGUUGCGCCGCAAGGCACAUCGUCCUCGAGAACUUGAUCAAACUUGAUCAUUUAGAGGAAGUAAAAGUCGUAACA